RNAcentral lists this transfer RNA (77 nucleotides) under Micavibrio sp. RNAcentral describes it as "tRNA-Val". It matches the Rfam family "tRNA". From Rfam's summary of the family: Transfer RNA (tRNA) molecules are approximately 80 nucleotides in length. Their secondary structure includes four short double-helical elements and three loops (D, anti-codon, and T loops). The record is from RNAcentral. Lineage: Bacteria; Pseudomonadati; Bdellovibrionota; Bdellovibrionia; Bdellovibrionales; Pseudobdellovibrionaceae.
GGGCAAUUAGCUCAGCUGGUUAGAGCACUACCUCGACAAGGUAGGGGUCACAAGUUCGAAUCUUGUAUUGCCCACCA